Molecule: non-coding RNA, 44 nt
Organism: Schistosoma haematobium
Lineage: Eukaryota; Metazoa; Platyhelminthes; Trematoda; Strigeidida; Schistosomatidae
Source: Rfam
GUCUAACCGACGAGUUCGAAAUAGGACGAAACCGUGUCCUGGAU